RNAcentral lists this long non-coding RNA (570 nucleotides) under Homo sapiens (human). RNAcentral describes it as "non-protein coding lnc-CD24-3:2". The record is from RNAcentral. Lineage: Eukaryota; Metazoa; Chordata; Mammalia; Primates; Hominidae.
UUGCCCAGGCUAGUCGAACUCCUGGGCUCAAGUCAUCUGCCCACCUCUGCCUUCCAAGGUGCUGGGAUUACAGGCAUGAGGCACUGCGCCAGCCUUCAACCAUGUUUUCAUUUCUUUAUUUUUGAGACAUGGUCUCCAUCUGUUGCCCAGGCUAGAGUGCAGUGAUGCAAUCAUGGCUCACUGCAGCCUCUACCUUCUGGGCACAAUUGAUCCUCCGAAUGAAUGACCUUUGGGUCACAGGUCCACCGGCGACUCACCAGGGGUUUGUGCCCCUUCCUUCUUUCCUUCUCAGUGGAGUUUGAAGCACUUACGGGUGUCAAGGAAGCAAGUCUUAUCGCCCCUUUCCACCUUCUAUGAGUUUUCUUUGGCCAUAUUAGUUGUUAGGCCAUAGAAUAUAAAUGCUAAGAGUGUGGGCUCUAGACAGCCCAGAUUCAAAUCCCUGCUCUGCCUCUUACUAGAUGUGCAACCUCAGGCAAACUUCGUAAACUCCCUGUGCCUCAGUAUCUCCAUCUAUGCAAUGGAGAUAAUGCAAGCCCUAGCUUCAUAAAACCGUUGUGCAGAUUAAAAGAU